UAGUCAACCAAAACAGUAGGAAUAAUCAACCAGUUGGGAAAACUAAGUAGGCAGCAGUUCUGUACAACAGUAACUCAGGCUUUGAGUGGUCACAGGCUGGUGUGAGUCAACCAUGGCUUGUUAUUGCAAAGAAAAAAAGUAAGUGACCUGCUGGGAUGAAUUACGAGGAUUAGAGUCUGAAAGACUUGGCAAGGAAUUCUGCUUUGCUUAGCAGUUGUAAAGCUAGUUUCGGAUGUUACACAUGAAGAAGGAUGUGGACCACCUGCAGAGUAAACAGAAUGUGAAGGGGUCUAAGGGAAACAGUGAAUUAUUUCAGAUUGUUUAAUUAGGAAAGAAUGACAAGAAUGACAACAUAAACAGUCCACAAACAUGUGAGAAGUUACUGAUAAGAUGGGAAUAACCUGUUUUCUACGCCCACCAGGGCCAGAAAUUACAACCAGAAUAUUUUAGGUUAAACAUUAGGACAAACAUUUUUCAAGGCUAGAGGUACUGGAAAAAAGAUUGCCAGUGGUGUGGUCAGGGUCUGUCAAGAACAGGCUAUGGGGUCUUUAAGAACUGGCUAUGUACAUAUCGUCCAUAAACAGAUAUUUUAUAGGUGUAGUGGAGCUGCCUAUCAGUAUGACCAUCUAAGGACCCUUCUGAGCCCUAUGUUUCUAUUGUUGUUAAUGUCAUAAGAUUGUAGAAUGGUUUGGGUUGGACAGGGACCAUUAAAGCUCAUCUAGUCCAACCCCCCUGCCAUGGGCAGGGACACCUUCCACUAGACCAGGUUGCUCAAAGCCCCAUCAAACCUGACCUUCAACACUUCCAAUGACAGAACAUCCACAUCUUUUCUGGGUGCACCCAAAAUUCUAUUAUGGUUUGUACUGCUGGAGCAAUAACAGAAAUCAAGGAAUUAGAAUUCUGUGAAGGGAGAAGUAAUUGAUGGUGAUAUGAUGUAGAAGCACAUGCCUGAAAUGAGUUAAGUACCUAGACAUUCAAUUUAUUAACAGUAUUACCAAAUAUUAUUUCUGUGAAGAUGUUACUGGAGGCUGUGUGAAACAAAAUUAUCGCAUAUGCUUAUUGACAAUCCUAAUGAGAACAACUUACAUAAUCAUGUUCUUGAUGGGAAACUUCUUGUGCAAAGAACUGCUGGCUUGUGAGGUUGAUGCAGAGCACUGCUCUCUCAAGCAAAAGACUGAAGUGCCCACCUCACCGGAGAAGCAAAAAACUAAAUAAACUGCUUAAGCAUUAGCUGUCUAGUACCAUUUUAGUUGCUACGUGGUAUAUCUCUCCUGUCCUCCAGCUGUUUCAGAAAGCUGCAGACCCACCAUUAGUCUUGCGGCGUAUCUGCCAGACCUCUGCAGAUAGCUUUGAUACCCAAGGGUGUGUCAAGUGGCACUAGAUGAUGCAGAUGAAUUCUGUGAGUGGCAGCUGAAAGGUCACCCAAGGGGCUCCAGCUGACACUCCAUCAGCUCAUCCAUUAUACUCUGGAUACAGUCUGCAUUGUGACAGAGACAGACCAUUAAAAUGCUAUAAUCAGCUAACAGAAUCACGAGACUGGACUACAGUCACAAAUGGAUACAAGCUUGGGAUUUAUAUUUAGCUAUGGUGAUAGUGCAGUUUGCAAUUUAGUGUGGGCAUACCUGAUCCAUCUUUAAAUUAGCUAAUCCUCCUAAUGGAAAAUUUCUAAUCACUGCAACACUGUGCUUGGCACAAGGUAAUUUACUUUUGCCAUAGUGGUGUUUCCACUGUGCCAGCAGUGUAUGUGUAUGCAGAUUACAUUUUAGGCACAUCCACCAUCUACUUAUGAAUCCUAGUUUUCUUUUGUGAACAUGGAGUUAUGGGCUAACCUUUAUGUAUGGCUAGCAAAAUGAGAACCUUUUAGAAAGAAAAGAAGUGUAACAGUUAAGAAUUCAUCACACAGCAAGAAUGUGACACCUAGUGGAUAGAUGAUGUUGAGGAAAUGUGAUGGUCCCAUCAAGGAAUAUUGACAUAAAAUGACCCUAUCCAGUAGAACAACAAAGUUGAUACCAAAAAAGACACUGAUCUUGAAUGACUGUUUACACAGGGCCAAAGUAAUUGUGUAAUGGCAAGUUUCCCCUGAAAGCUCAGAAGUGAAGGUGGUAAGAGAUUGGUUUAGAAGGAUUUUUUGUAAGCUACUAGCAGAAUGAAGAUGUCAGGCCAAGGCCAGAGGGCUUUUAAAAAACAGAGACUAAAGCCCAUGAAGACUUUGUGGAUAUUCAAGAGAUGCAUCAUAACUGGAGAUUUACAACAACCAAAACACAAGAAUAAAGCAUGUCUAAAAA
Molecule: long non-coding RNA, 2285 nt
Organism: Pezoporus occidentalis (night parrot)
Lineage: Eukaryota; Metazoa; Chordata; Aves; Psittaciformes; Psittacidae
Exons: 3
Source: RefSeq, a predicted model, not a curated record